AUGGAGUGGGUGCGCCGGCUCGCGGUGCGGGCGGGGCCGCCGGGGGCCGGGGAGGGGUUCGACGCGCUCGUCGUCGCCGGGGACGUGGCGGAGACGAGGGACAACUUCGCGCGAACCAUGGAGGCCCUCAGGGCGCGGUUCGACGCCGUCUUCUACGUGCCCGGCAACCACGACCUCUGGCUGCGCCGCGAGGGUGGCCGCUACGUGGAUUCGAUGGAGAAACUGACUGCAUUGCUUGAUGCGUGUAGUGAGCUGGGUGUGGAUACAGGCCCUAGAACGAUAGGUGACUUAGGGAUCAUACCAUUGUUUUCAUGGUAUCACAAGAGCUUUGACAAGGAAAAGGAUGUGAACAGUGUGCGUGUUCCUUCGUUAGAGAUGGCUUGUAAAGACUUUCAUGCUUGCCAAUGGCCUUCGGACUUGGGAAGUGAUGAUGAGGCUCUUGCUCUUUACUUUGACAAGUUGAAUGACAAGAACAAUGAUGCUAUUGAAGAAGUAAAAAAGAAGAGCAAACAGAUACUUACAUUUUCACACUUUGUACCAAGGCAAGAGUUAUGUCCAGAGAAGCGAAUGCUUUACUAUCCAAACCUUCCAAAGGUCAUCGGCUCUGAUUAUUUGGAAAGAAGGCUGAGAGCUAUACACAACAACGCUAAAGAUGGAGCAGCCUGCCAUGUAUUCGGGCAUACACACUUCUGUUGGGAUUCUGUGGUUGACGGUAUCAGGUAUGUACAGGCGCCUCUGGCAUACCCUCGAGAAAGAAAGCGAAGGAUAAACGGAGGCCAGGGAUGGUUGCCGUUUUGUGUAUAUCGUGAUGGCUUCAACCCUGAAAUAUACCCAGCUAUAUGGUCUGACUAUUACAACAAGAACAGAAGGGAGCCUGAGAACACUCAGCUUGCGCCGUGGGUUGCCAAAUAUUUUUCAAAGUACUACGGACCCCCUGUUUUUGCCAAACAAACUGAAUCCGGUUGA
Molecule: ribosomal RNA, 966 nt
Filed under: Triticum aestivum (bread wheat)
Lineage: Eukaryota; Viridiplantae; Streptophyta; Magnoliopsida; Poales; Poaceae
Description: partial small subunit ribosomal RNA
Source: RNAcentral